RNAcentral lists this unclassified non-coding RNA (268 nucleotides) under Hevea brasiliensis (rubber tree). Lineage: Eukaryota; Viridiplantae; Streptophyta; Magnoliopsida; Malpighiales; Euphorbiaceae. The record is from RNAcentral.
GGUUGAGAGGGGCGCGGACGUCAGAAGAAACGGUAUCGUCGUCGGGGUCGUAAUCGGGAUUAAGAGAUCGAUCAAUAGCUUGACGGCCUUUUUCCAGACAAGGUUUGCAGGCGAUCUCUAUAGCUACCCAUCCAAGUACAAGUCCUGCCACUGCUAUCAAUGCACUCGUUAUCGCUGCCAUUUUCCAAUUCUUCGCUCAAUAAAAUCGUUUGCUUCGAGAGCAAUUCCUUGAUCUUUCUCGCCGGAAAUGGGCACUUGCGUUUCGUUG